Numida meleagris (helmeted guineafowl) is the source of this 2433-nucleotide long non-coding RNA. The record is from Ensembl. Lineage: Eukaryota; Metazoa; Chordata; Aves; Galliformes; Numididae.
UCUCUCCUUCCCCCCUCCCCGCUCCCACCCACCUCUUCACAACCUGGCAUCAAAGAAAGACAUCGACCAAAAACUUGCUCACAUUACCACGAACAGACUUCACUCAGCCAAGAACGACUAUAGCCACUCAACUAACAACGCGGCCCCCGGCUGCUCGGCCGGGGAAGCACUCGAGCCAUCGUCACGUUUCCAGCUCCAGCCCCUCCGGUGCCAAUGCGGACGCGUCCGAACGCCGCUCGGAACGGCGGCUGGAGCCCCGCAGCACAACCACUCUCUUCCCAUCAGCGGGAGAACGUGGCACAACGCGCGGCUCCAAUGCGAGCCCCGAGCUCCAAUGCGACCCCUGGGCUCCAACAACAUCCUACUGGACUUCAAUAACUGGGCUCCAGCGCAACCCCUGGGCUCCAAUGCAACCCCUGGACUCUGACACAACCAUUGGAGCUCCAUGGCAACCACGCGGCCCCAGCGAACCAUGGGGCUCCAACACAACCACCGGGCUCCAGCGCAACCCCUGGGCUCCAAUGCAACCAUGGGGCUCCAAUGAAGCACCAGACUUCAAUGCAACCAAGGGGCUCCGAUGCAACCACUGGGGCUCGAAUGCAACCAUUGGGCUCCAAUGAACCACCGGACUUCAAUGCAACCACGGAACUCUGACGCAACCAUUGGGACUCCAAUGCAACCACGGGGCUCCAAUGAACCACCAGACUUCAAUGCAACCAUGGGGCUCCGAUGCAACCACUGGGGCUCGAAUGCAACCAUUGGGCUCCAAUGAACCACUGGACUUCAAUGCAACCACGGAACUCUGACGCAACCAUUGGGACUCCAAUGCAAGCAUGGGGCUCCAACGCAACAGUUGGGGCUCCAGUGCAGUCAUUGGGCUCCAACGAACCAUUGGGACUCCAAUGCAACCAUGGGGCUCUGAUGCAACCAUGGGGCUCCAAUGCAACCAUUGGCCUCCAACGCAACCUGGGGGCACAGAGGUGGUGCAGGCAGUGGCACUGAGGGCUCGGAGCACUGCAAUGCCCCCAGCUCUCCCUAACCCCCCCGUGGGGACCAAACCAAAGCCAGACUUGGAACAAGAACUGGGUUUAGGGGGACGCGGCCGAGGCUGCGCCCACCCCAGCGCACGCUCACAUCCCGAUCUGCUCCGGAGCACAGGCAGGAACCGGAGGAUUCUGAAAGCUCUGGGGAGGAGGCGAGCACACAUCCGACCUGACAGCGUCCCUUCAGCACAGCAUUUCUCUUUUUUGUUUUUUUUUUUUCCCCCAAAACAUCAGCAUCCAUUGCGGGACCCGGGAGCAGCGCCCACCCCUGCGUCCACCUCUCGCCGCUUUCCCGUCGAUGCAACGCAGUGGGGGCACGCGGCCCGUAUCCGGAGGGCGAAACGGAGCAGCAGAGGGGAUGUUCCCGGGAACAUCAUCACGACGGAAUGAAAGUCUCCUGUAACCAAAGGGAAAGAAAAACAACGGCGGGCGAUUUCGAUGACGAGGAUGAUUUCGUUUUUUUUUUUUUUUUUUGCUGUAGAACGGUCUCGGCCGAGUUGCGCAGCUCGUCGGUUCAGCUCCGAGUCGGGGGCCGGGAUUUGCGAGGGGCAGGAAACGGGGUGGGAGGAAAACGAGAGAUAGCACCGCCACAUCCAUAGGUAGAGCUGCUCGCCGAGCGCCGUGCCUCUAUAUUCAUGCACACAGGGUGUUGGUAGCGAGGGUCCUGCUGCUCGCCGGGUCCAUCCCAGCGAUGCCAAGCACUGCGGGCACGGAGCGGAACGGGGCCGGCGUCCCCCGCUUCCCAGCGGUGGAACCGAAGGAGCCGGAGCCGGCGGAGCCAGGAGCCUUGAAAGGACCCGAGGGUGCUCGGCAAGGCAAUGCUGCUUUUUUUUUUUUUUUUGCUUUUUUUUUUUUUUUUCCUGUUCCGUUCUGAAAAAAAUAGAAUAUAUAAAAGCGGCCAACCUCGGGAAGAUCCAGGCAGCGGAGGCGGAAGAGGUUUCGGUCCAUAAAGAAAUACUUUAAAGAAAUACUUUUUUUUUUUUGUCUUCUUUUUUUACUUCCCUCCCCCCCCCCCCCCAACUCGGUUUCGGGUAACAAAACUUUUGGUCCGGCUGAAAAACGACGAGAACAAAAUUAGAUCUCUGUAAAACCCGGGCUUCGCCCUCGUGGCUGUCGGUUUCUUUUUUUUUUGCUUUACGGUCGGGAUUCGCCGCCUCCUCCUUCUCCUCCUCCUCCUCCUCCUCCUCCUCCUCCUCCUCCUCCUCGUCCCCUCCCCGCGUUGUCAGCGCAAGGGAAGGGGCAGGGAAGCAGCGCGCGAUGCGAGCGCGGAGCCCGGCGUGGGGGGAGCGCAUGGGGGGUGCGCAUUUGGGGAGCGCAUGGGGGGAGCGCAUUUGGGGAGCGCAUGGGGGUACCCUGUGAGCGGCUCCGGCGCCGUCGGACGAAGCCAUCC